This 75-nucleotide transfer RNA is filed under the name Caldisericota bacterium. RNAcentral's name for it is "Caldiserica bacterium tRNA-Asp". It matches the Rfam family "tRNA". From Rfam's summary of the family: Transfer RNA (tRNA) molecules are approximately 80 nucleotides in length. Their secondary structure includes four short double-helical elements and three loops (D, anti-codon, and T loops). Lineage: Bacteria; Pseudomonadati; Caldisericota. RNAcentral also lists the same sequence under 1 other name. The record is from RNAcentral.
GGGCCCGUGGUGUAGGCAGGUUAACACGCCGGCCUGUCAAGCCGGAGAUCGGCGGUUCAAGUCCGCUCGGGCCCG